Molecule: ribosomal RNA, 429 nt
Filed under: Chloroflexota bacterium
Lineage: Bacteria; Bacillati; Chloroflexota
Description: Chloroflexi bacterium partial 16S ribosomal RNA
Rfam family: Bacterial small subunit ribosomal RNA
Source: RNAcentral
UGGGGAAUAUUGCACAAUGGGCGCAAGCCUGAUGCAGCCAUGCCGCGUGUAUGAAGAAGGCCUUCGGGUUGUAAAGUACUUUCAGCGGGGAGGAAGGGAGUAAAGUUAAUACCUUUGCUCAUUGACGUUACCCGCAGAAGAAGCACCGGCUAACUCUGUGCCAGCAGCCGCGGUAAUACGGAGGGUGCAAGCGUUAAUCGGAAUUACUGGGCGUAAAGCGCACGCAGGCGGUUUGUUAAGUCAGAUGUGAAAUCCCCGGGCUCAACCUGGGAACUGCAUCUGAUACUGGCAAGCUUGAGUCUCGUAGAGGGGGGUAGAAUUCCAGGUGUAGCGGUGAAAUGCGUAGAGAUCUGGAGGAAUACCGGUGGCGAAGGCGGCCCCCUGGACGAAGACUGACGCUCAGGUGCGAAAGCGUGGGGAGCAAACAGG